AACACAAAUUGUACUUUCCAGUAAUCUGGGAAGUAUGCUUGGUUGAGGGUCAUUAAAAUAACAUUCGUGAAUUUUUUUGCGGAUUUGAGUUUUCCAGUAUUUAUAAAAAUGUUGGUAACUUUAAAAUUAUUAUUACUUGGUACAAGUUGAAGACGUUCUAUAUGUGUGGUUCGCUGACAACUUGCCCAUCUUUAUAUAUUAUGCGCGCACUUGGUUUUUUUAUGCUUUGUGCGAGUAUAUAUUUUUUUAUGACCUCAGCUCAAGUAAGAACACCCGCUGAACUUAA
This 286-nucleotide unclassified non-coding RNA is filed under the name uncultured Diversisporaceae. RNAcentral's name for it is "sequence contains ITS2". Lineage: Eukaryota; Fungi; Glomeromycota; Glomeromycetes; Diversisporales. The record is from RNAcentral.